Aethalodelphis obliquidens (Pacific white-sided dolphin) is the source of this 3436-nucleotide long non-coding RNA. RefSeq lists it as uncharacterized. The record is from RefSeq and is a predicted model, not a curated record. NCBI's taxonomy places the organism in Eukaryota, Metazoa, Chordata, Mammalia, Artiodactyla, Delphinidae. The transcript is spliced from 15 exons.
CAGCCGCGCGCCGGGCCCGGGAGGAGUGCUCGCGGGUGUGUCCGUCCGUCCGUCCGUCCGCCGCCCCCGCCCCCCUGCGGUGGCUCCCGGCUCGGCCCGCUCGGCGGCCGCGCCCGGCAGAUGCACGGCGCGUGGCACCGGCUCCUGGGCCCCAGCCUCCCGGCCCCGCCCGCCCAGGGUUGGCUGACGGGACCGAGGCGAGCUCGCCGUCCUCUCUCAACACCUGAGGAAACUGGCGGAAAAGUUUGAGAACGAAAAGUCCAAUCGUCUUUCAGCUUCCGCCCUCCCUAUGACACUCCAGCCACGACAAGACCAGGAGGCUGGAGUAAGGAAGAAGGAUACAAUGGGACAAAGGAGAGAGUACCCCUGAGGCUGGGCAGGGGAGGAAGCAGAGAAAAGCAAGGGGUGAGCCUUGCCUGGCCUUCCUUGGCUCCUAGCAAAUCAGCAGGUGUCUCCUGCAUAUCUAAGAGCCUUCCUGCACAUGGGCUCAGGAGAGAGUCCCAGGAUGGUGUAUGCUUAUUUGCCUCACUCACUUCCAACAUGGCCAUGUAAGCAGUGCACAGAAGUGGGGGUGUGCCCAGGCCUCAAAUGUUUGGGCUUGUCCUCUGGUGCUCCUGCCUUCACCAUGAGAUAUGUAUACCUUGUGUGAGUCACAGUUCCAAGAUGGAGAGAUACAUGGAACAGACCUAACCCAAGCCUAGCUGAGUUCAGCCAACCUGCGGACCCAAGAGUGAAAAGAAAGAAAUGUCUCUUGUAAGCCACUGAGAUUUGGGGAUUAUUUGUUACACAGCAGUAUCACAGCCAAGCCUAACUAAUGAGUGUUCAUGGUUUUUUUUAUUGCAUGGAACUGCUCCAGUACUCAAGUCUGAGAUGCUCACUCUGAGGCAUAUCAUCAAGGAAUUGAGAUUUAGUGAGCAGUUUUUCCCCCCUCCAGACUCCUUUCCAUGACCUCUCCUGGAGUGUGCAUCUCCUACAUUUAUAGGACAAUUAACCACAUGGAAGAAUUUUGCCUCCUCCCCAACAAGCCAUUCCACAGGUGCUCAGACCUGCCUGUCCCUGACGAGGGCUGUUCUUGUUGUGGUCAGACCUCAGCUUCUUGGGGACAAUGAUGAGGCUGGAGCUCAGAGAGAUGGAGGAGCCUCUGAAGCUGCAGCAGCCGGAGCAGAACGCACAGCUGCAGAGCCCUCUGGAAAGAACAGAGAAGAGAAGUGGACGUCACAGACCUGAACGAGGAUGUUCUCUGUGAUGUCAGGUAAUGGGGACCCAGUGAUGAAUAGAGAUUCUUCAAGCUGCUCAGAGCCUAGCAGGGGACCUCGAGCCCUAAAGAAGCACAGGCGGAAGGAGGGUCAGUGGGCACAUCUGUGGAGACUGCACCCCUUGUUUCCUGGCACUGGAGGAGAUUAGUGAGGACACCUGGUUUCUUCUCAUUUUGCACAGAGAGAGAGAGAGGCUCAAGGGUUGUGGGCUCAGCGGCCGUGUGAUUGAUGACUGAGAAAAGCUGGGUUUUAAAAAAAUUCUUACAGAGGACUGCCCUCCCUAGACCCCUGAAGCUCUUCAGGGACACCUGACCUGUGGCCUUGACAGGAAUUCUAGGAGAAGUCAGGAAAGAAGAGGACAGGUUGACAGAUCCAAGCCACUGUCAUAUCCCUCCAGAGUGGCAAGCCUCUCUGUCACACAACAUGGUACUGGGCACACAUCAAGAUUUUCAUCAAUGGAAAGGGAGAUUGGUGUUGGAUGAGGUCAAGAGGCCUGCUGUUCACAACAGGCUUUCCCUGUGAUCAGCCACCGUCAACGCCCGUGCUCCUGCAGGAUCCCAAGGAAGAGCACACGUCGAGACCUCAGCCCUUCAGCUGGAAACCUUUGGGUGGUCUCCCCAUCAUCAGGUGAACUAGAUGCAGUUUACAAAAACAGUUGGAUUAUGGCAAGAUGACAUAAAAAUGACAAAAAAUGAGGCACAGGAGAUGGAAGAAUAGGAGAGAUGAAUGGAGCCAGGUGUGAGCCAAGGCCAAGGAAAGCACAGUAAGUGGCAUGAGUCACAGCCCAAGAAAUAAAAGCGAACAGGAGUGGAGUUGGCACACAUCACACUGUGAGGCCAGGAUGCGAGGACACGGGACGAAGCACAGCGGAAGCAUACCAGUGACACCGAAAUCGUGUCACAUUCUCGGAGUGAUGUUCUUCCUGGAUUCUUCCUUGAAAAGAAGCUUCAUCAGGCCCCAGCUGCUGACCUCAGCGGCACCUGGCACACAUCAGAUGUAAGCACCAGCUAUGUAACCACCAGCUAUGGUGGCAGAACAAACAUUUCCAACUGCCACACCCGUCAUACAAGGGCUUGGUGAUUUGCCCAGGAAUGAGCUCAUAAGUUCUCCAGAUUCAGUGACCAGACUAGAGCAACAGCGUUGAAAGAGCCAAAUGAUGUGACAGAACUGGGCUUCACGAUGGGCCACUGCUCCUGCAGAUGUCCACCCAAGGGACACAACUACCCUUAAUUUCCAACUUUACCCAGGCUGCCUGGGACCUGACUCCUUUGUCCCUAGAGCAGGCCAUGACCUGGGAGUGCUGUGAGAGGAGGGGCUUUGUCACUUCAUGAUUCACCGAUUGUCCAUCCUUCUCUGCUGGAGGACCUUGAAGGAGGCACAUGUGUCCAGUUAGGAGGAUGCUCCAGGAAGCCCCCAGGCAGUGCCUGUAAAACUUUCCAUGUGCCUGUGAAACACCUGGGCAUCAUGAUUCUGCAUUUCUAACCAACCUCCAGGAAGAAAUGUGUCUUGGCUGGAGGCCCAUGUUUCGUUCCAGCACAUCCUUUUUACCAAAAGAGCCGUCCCUGGAGCUGCCAACAGUGUUUACGAGAAAGCCAUCCAACAAUACUUUGGAUCUGGGAGCGUGGCCUGACCACGGACGUGGCCUUCCCCGCCCCGAGAACCAUCCAUCGGAAAGCCUGGCACACGGUAGAGUGUCUUUAUUUUUACUCCAAAAUGUAAAAAAUGUAAAGCUGGUUCCUUUCUUUCUUUCUUUUAACAGCUGGGAAAACUCCUGUCAGUGGAUGCAGUGUCCUUUCCAGAUUCAAUAUUGUGCAAACUGCAUAUCGGCAAAUGGAGUAAACAAAUAUGUCCAUGGUGCUUCCUGAUGCACAGAGAGAUGGGGCCGCCCCGAUACAGAGACGCAGACCUGCCGAUCGGCACGGGAGCUGCUGAAACUGCUCCUCCACCAGCUCUGCUACCAUCUCUCUCCUUCAGAACAGAGUCUGAGAGCCUGGGGUGAUGGGCCACUCGGAUGCCCAGCAGCAGGGGACCCCUGGAGUCACGCAGACCUAGGGUGGCCGCAGGUUGGAUGGGAGCUCUCAUUGGCUGCGGUGGGGACUUACCACCUGACCAGUCCUGCGCCUACGCUAAAAGCCCCACCCUCUUCAGUCCCACCUGAACCGCAAGGCUCUCACCCCCAG